CCUACGGGAGGCUGCAGUGGGGGAUAUUGCACAAUGGGGGAAACCCUGAUGCAGCGACGCCGCGUGGGUGAAGAAGUAUUUCGGUAUGUAAAGCCCUAUCAGCAGGGAAGAAAGAAGACGGUACCUGACUAAGAAGCCCCGGCUAACUACGUGCCAGCAGCCGCGGUAAUACGUAGGGGGCGAGCGUUAUCCGGAUUCACUGGGUGUAAAGGGAGCGUAGACGGCCGUGCAAGCCAGGAGUGAAAGCCCGGGGCCCAACCCCGGGACUGCUCUUGGAACUGUGCGGCUGGAGUGCGGGGGGGGCAGGCGGAAUUCCUGGUGUAGCGGUGAAAUGCGUAGAUAUCAGGAGGAACACCGGCGGCGAAGGCGGCCUGCUGGACCGCGACUGACGUUGAGGCUCGAAAGCGUGGGGAGCGAACAGGAUUAGAUACCCCAGUAGUC
This 441-nucleotide ribosomal RNA is filed under the name uncultured bacterium. Its description in RNAcentral is "partial 16S ribosomal RNA". It matches the Rfam family "Bacterial small subunit ribosomal RNA", at positions 338 to 795 of the family's 1533-position model. The record is from RNAcentral.